UUUAAAUAAAUAUCUACACAUAUCUUUAAAUAAAUAGUUUUAUUAUUUAUUUUAAUACUUAUUUGAGCAAUGGAAAAAUAUCUAGAUUUUUAUGCUUUUUCUUAGUCAUUAAGCUAGCCCUAUUUCAUGGCUUAUAAAUUGAGAACUUUGUCUCAAUUUUCACCACACAUUUUCAACAGCCUAGGGAGAGGGUGAGAGGGUGAAAGUAUGAUCAAAGGAAGUUGAGAAGAAGAAGAAGAAAAAAAAAAUAAUAAUAAGGGUGACUCUCAAAAAGGAGAACACCGAACUGUGAGAUGCAUACAAUCAGUCAGUCCACUUCCUGUAUAAAGCAACAAAGAGGAUAAAACAAACAAGCUAAUCAGGGCCGUCUAUUCUCAUCACUAAUCAAGUUAUCUGCUCCAAAAUUGCGUCUUUCAGACGCGAGAUCUGAAUCGGUAACUCUCUCCGGUUCGAACUCGGCGAGGCGACUCAUCUGCUCUUCGACUCAGUUUCAAUAAGAAGAUCAAGUUAACCCUAAAAGGCUUGAAGAAGAGGAAUCAGAAAUCAAAGAGAAGAUUCAAAACGAAAAGGACAACGAUGACGAAGAUGAAGAUGAUGACUUUGAUAUGAACAAAGAGACCGGUGAGAUUGGAGGACCUAGAGGUCCCGAGCCCACUCGUUACGGCGAUUGGGAGCGGAACUGUCGGUGCUCUGAUUUCUGAUUACUUUUUGAUUGAUUGUUUGUUUGCUUGUUAUUAUUUAUGUUGAAAUCUUGAUGGAUUUAGGAACUUGAAAUGUGAUGUUAGGUUUAUAAUUUGGUUGAGUAUAAUGAUCAAAUUAAUGAAUAAAAAUGAUUGAUUGAAUCAAUCAAUUAUAUUGUUGUUACU
Non-coding RNA from Camellia sinensis, 866 nucleotides. The record is from RefSeq and is a predicted model, not a curated record. NCBI's taxonomy places the organism in Eukaryota, Viridiplantae, Streptophyta, Magnoliopsida, Ericales, Theaceae.